RNAcentral lists this ribosomal RNA (497 nucleotides) under uncultured bacterium. Its description in RNAcentral is "partial 16S ribosomal RNA". It matches the Rfam family "Bacterial small subunit ribosomal RNA", at positions 28 to 507 of the family's 1533-position model. The record is from RNAcentral.
GAUGAACGCUGGCGGCGUGCCUAAUACAUGCAAGUCGAGCGAACAGACGAGGAGCUUGCUCCUCUGACGUUAGCGGCGGACGGGUGAGUAACACGUGGAUAACCUACCUAUAAGACUGGGAUAACUUCGGGAAACCGGAGCUAAUACCGGAUAAUAUAUUGAACCGCAUGGUUCAAUAGUGAAAGACGGUUUUGCUGUCACUUAUAGAUGGAUCCGCGCCGCAUUAGCUAGUUGGUAAGGUAACGGCUUACCAAGGCAACGAUGCGUAGCCGACCUGAGAGGGUGAUCCGCCACACUGGAACUGAGACACGGUCCAGACUCCCACGGGAGGCAGCAGUAGGGAAUCCUCCGCAAUGGGCGAAAGCCUGACGGGGCAACGCCGCGUGAGUGAUGAAGGUCUUCGGAUUGUAAAACUCUGUUAUUAGGGAAGAACAAAUGUGUAAGUAACUAUGCACGUCUUGAUGGUACCUAAUCAGAAAGCCACGGCUAACUACGUG